Harpegnathos saltator (Jerdon's jumping ant) is the source of this 953-nucleotide long non-coding RNA. RefSeq lists it as uncharacterized. NCBI's taxonomy places the organism in Eukaryota, Metazoa, Arthropoda, Insecta, Hymenoptera, Formicidae. The transcript has 2 exons. The record is from RefSeq and is a predicted model, not a curated record.
UUCGUCGUAGUUUUAUUCUGAUGUUGGGCUCACGUUCAAUCGUGCAGGUGGAAAGGGGGGUUGCAGGGACGUGGGUGGUUAUGGGAGUGGCGGUAAGGCGCUGCAGACUCUCAGAGUCGGUUCGGUCCGCCGAUUGCUAAAAGAAUCAAAUAAAGCGCAGAGUUUCCUCGCGAAUUUUUGCGCCGGUGCGCCGCGCAUACGUUCGUUUGGCGUUUCACUCCGCGCGCGUGAUAUCAUUCUCGGCCGGCAAGAAUUGAAUAUUUUUAUUCGAAACCUUUUACUUUACCGAGAUUAUACGAGUUCUUAGUAUUUUUACAACGAACGUGUUGUAAUAAUAUCGUCGUCACUCGACGAUAUUAUUACGUCCGUCAUUCGACAUUAUUUGAUUUACCGCGAAAGCGUACGAGCGACAGAUUUGGUAAGGAAAAUACGGAAAGAAUUGAAAGUGCAAAUGUAAUAUUCAACGGGGAUGCUCACAGCCUCUUUGUUUCCGCGUACACAUGUGUACGUUCGACGCGUUUACAUGAAUCAGCAGGCGAGAUAAGAGUCGGUACUUCCCAUUAACGAAAUACGGUGGAGUCCCGCGCACAUGUACACAAUUAAAUGCGGAUACUCGCGCACGCUCGAUAAGAUAUGGCAUGUGAGUAUAUAAGCGACACUCGGAGAGAGUAACAUCACACCUCUUUAACACGCAGCAGACGCGAAAGAACGAAACACAACAUGAAAUUCCACUUGUUCAUCUUUACUCUGCUCUUGGCAGUGAUGGCCGCUCUUGCGUUCAGGGUUCCGCCUCAACAACCGCCUCCAGGCGGCUGGAAAAAAUUCCCAACUUUUCCCGGUCAAGGACCCUUCAACCCAAAGAUCGGGAAGUGAUGAGACAAAACGAUGACUUCUGCCAGCAUCUUUUGAAAUCGACUUCAUACUCUAAGAGAACUGAUAUGCCCGAGAUAAUU